CUUUCUUGAUUCGGUGGGUGGUGGUGCAUGGCCGUUCUUAGUUGGUGGAGCGAUUUGUCUGGUUAAUUCCGAUAACGAACGAGACUCUAGCCUGCUAAAUAGGUGACGGGUUUUAUCAAUUGAAACCGAAGGAAGUACGGAGGCGUCGGGAUCAGGUGGCGGCGUUUCGGGUUUCGGUGGGACUGGUUCCUUUAGUGAGUGCAAUCUCUCGGCUUGGUUUCGUUGCGCUUUUCGUUGGGUUGUGUACGGCCUUCACGGGUUGGUUGCUGCCUGAUGACGAGUGUGGCGGGGCUUUGUUGGGAAUGUCUCGCGGGGGCCGGUUCUAUCGUUAUUCGGGCGUCGUCAUCCCCGGCGAUACCUUCUGCUCUCGCGUCCGUCACGCAGUCUUCUUAGAGGGACAAGCGGCGUCCAGCCGCGUGACAGUAAGCAAUAACAGGUCUGUGAUGCCCUUAGAUGUCCUGGGCCGCACGCGCGCUACACUGAAGGAAUCAGCGUG
RNAcentral lists this ribosomal RNA (496 nucleotides) under Daphnia catawba. Its description in RNAcentral is "bacterial SSU rRNA". It matches the Rfam family "Eukaryotic small subunit ribosomal RNA", at positions 1257 to 1519 of the family's 1831-position model. Lineage: Eukaryota; Metazoa; Arthropoda; Branchiopoda; Diplostraca; Daphniidae. The record is from RNAcentral.